RNAcentral lists this ribosomal RNA (517 nucleotides) under Rhacophorus boeadii (Boeadi's tree frog). RNAcentral describes it as "Rhacophorus sp. 1 MM-2019 partial 16S ribosomal RNA". It matches the Rfam family "Bacterial large subunit ribosomal RNA", at positions 1940 to 2624 of the family's 2925-position model. The record is from RNAcentral. Lineage: Eukaryota; Metazoa; Chordata; Amphibia; Anura; Rhacophoridae.
UUCUGACCGUUGCAAGGUAGCGUAAUCACUUGUUCUUUAAAUGGGGACUCGUAUCAAUGGCAUCACGAGGGCCACACUGUCUCCUCUCUCUAAUCAGUAAAACUGAUCUCCCCGUGAAGAAGCGGGGAUAAAACUAUAAGACGAGAAGACCCCAUGGAGCUUAAAACUAAGCAGCAACUCAGUCACACAAUCCAAUAUAAUUCACAGAGCCAUGCACGUAAGUUUUAGGUUGGGGUGACCGCGGAGCAAAAACUAACCUCCACGACGAAAAGAACUAAAUCUUUACCCAAGAGCCACCACUCUAAGAAUUAGCACACUAACGAACAAUGACCCGAUAAUCGAUCAACGGACCAAGUUACCCUGGGGAUAACAGCGCAAUCUACUUCAAGAGCUCAUAUCGACAAGUAGGCUUACGACCUCGAUGUUGGAUCAGGAUAUCCCAGUGGUGCAGCCGCUACUAAUGGUUCGUUUGUUCAACGAUUAAAACCUUACGUGAUCUGAGUCAGAACCGGAGAAA